RNAcentral lists this ribosomal RNA (794 nucleotides) under Metaphire posthuma. Its description in RNAcentral is "12S ribosomal RNA". Lineage: Eukaryota; Metazoa; Annelida; Clitellata; Crassiclitellata; Megascolecidae. The record is from RNAcentral.
CCAGUUUGAUUCUGACUGAAAUAUUAACUAAUACUAACCAAUAUACAUGUAAAUAAUAUUAGCCCCGCACCAAAUAUAAUCUAAAAGAUUCUAUAAUUAUAUUAAGCUAAAACUUCAUAUAACAGAGCGCCACAGUAAAUAACACUUUUCAAUGUGAGAAAUCAAGAAAAGAGUAUGGUAUAAGGGUUGGCAAAAUUCGUGCCAGCUGCCGCGGUUAGACGAUAAACCCAAGUUAAUACAAUAUAAACUAAAUUAACGAUAAGCUAAACAAUAACAAAAGUCUAAUUUUUAAUAUUCUCGACCCAAAAUUAUCCAAUAAAAAUGAAACCAUGAACUAAAACAUGGAUUAGAUACCCAUCUAUUCAUGAUAUAAAUAACAGUUGAAUAUUACGAACAACAGUUUAAAAUUCAAAGACUUUGGCGGUGUCUUAUAAAACCAGGGGAACCUGUCUCAUAACUCGAUAAUCCACGAAUACUCAACCAUGUCUUGAUUUUCAGCAUGUGUACUGCCGUUGUAAGCAUACCUCUAAAAGAACAAAGUGUGCUACUAUGAUUAACCAUCACUCAUAUACAUCAGGUCAAAGUGCAGCUAAUGAUAUGGUGACGAUGGGUUACAACCCCAAAAUAGACUAUCAAAUAAGAAAUAAAAAACCUUACAAAAGUGGACUUGGCUGUAAUUAAUUUACAAGUUAAUAAAAUGAAUAAAAAUCUAAGACAUGCACACAUCGCCCGUCACUCUACCCUAAAGGUUAGAUAAGUCGUAACAAAGUAGGUGUAAUGGAAAUUGUACCUGU